GAGCGGUAGCACAGAGAGCUUGCUCUCGGGUGACGAGCGGCGGACGGGUGAGUAAUGUCUGGGAAACUGCCUGAUGGAGGGGGAUAACUACUGGAAACGGUAGCUAAUACCGCAUAACGUCGCAAGACCAAAGUGGGGGACCUUCGGGCCUCAUGCCAUCAGAUGUGCCCAGAUGGGAUUAGCUAGUAGGUGGGGUAAUGGCUCACCUAGGCGACGAUCCCUAGCUGGUCUGAGAGGAUGACCAGCCACACUGGAACUGAGACACGGUCCAGACUCCUACGGGAGGCAGCAGUGGGGAAUAUUGCACAAUGGGCGCAAGCCUGAUGCAGCCAUGCCGCGUGUAUGAAGAAGGCCUUCGGGUUGUAAAGU
This 369-nucleotide ribosomal RNA is filed under the name Klebsiella aerogenes. Its description in RNAcentral is "bacterial SSU rRNA". It matches the Rfam family "Bacterial small subunit ribosomal RNA", at positions 64 to 431 of the family's 1533-position model. Lineage: Bacteria; Pseudomonadati; Pseudomonadota; Gammaproteobacteria; Enterobacterales; Enterobacteriaceae. The record is from RNAcentral.